CCUACGGGAGGCAGCAGUGAGGAAUAUUGGUCAAUGGCCGGGAGGCUGAACCAGCCAAGUCGCGUGAGGGAAGACGGCCCUACGGGUUGUAAACCUCUUUUGUCAGGGAGCAAGGUGCAGGUCGGGACCUGCUGUGAGAGUACCUGAAGAAAAAGCAUCGGCUAACUCCGUGCCAGCAGCCGCGAUAAUACGGAGGAUGCGAGCGUUAUCCGGAUUUAUUGGGUUUAAAGGGUGCGCAGGCGGAGGCACAAGUCAGCGGUAAAAUCGCGGGGCUCAACCCCGCUCCGCCGUUGAAACUGUGUGCCUUGAGUGCGCGAAGGGUAGGCGGAAUGCGUGGUGUAGCGGUGAAAUGCAUAGAUAUCACGCAGAACUCCGAUCGCGAAGGCAGCCUACCGGCGCGCAACUGACGCUCAUGCACGAAAGCGUGGGUAUCGAACAGGAUUAGAUACCCCGGUAGUC
This 459-nucleotide ribosomal RNA is filed under the name uncultured bacterium. Its description in RNAcentral is "partial 16S ribosomal RNA". It matches the Rfam family "Bacterial small subunit ribosomal RNA", at positions 338 to 795 of the family's 1533-position model. The record is from RNAcentral.